This 526-nucleotide ribosomal RNA is filed under the name Pseudomonas sp. HA-OP19. Its description in RNAcentral is "bacterial SSU rRNA". It matches the Rfam family "Bacterial small subunit ribosomal RNA", at positions 946 to 1484 of the family's 1533-position model. The record is from RNAcentral. Lineage: Bacteria; Pseudomonadati; Pseudomonadota; Gammaproteobacteria; Pseudomonadales; Pseudomonadaceae.
UAAUUCAGAACACCCGAGAACCUUACAGGCCUUGAAUCCAAUGAACUUUCAGAGAUAGCUUGGUGCUUCGGAACAUUGAGACAGGUGCUGAUGGUGUCGUCAGUCGUGUCGUGAGAUGUUGGGUUAAGACCCGUAACGAGCGCACCCUUGUCCUUAGUUACCAGCACGUUAUGGUGGGCACUCUAAGGAGACUGCCGGUGACAAACCGGAGUAAGGUGGCGAUGACGUCAAGUCAUAAUGGCCCUUUACGGCCUGGGCUACACACGUGCUACAAUGGUCGGUACAGAGGGUUGCCAAGCCGCGAGGGGGAGCUAAUCCCAGAAAACCGAUCGUAGUCCGGAUCGCAGUCUGAACUCGACUGCGUGAAGUCGGAAUCGCUAGUAAUCGCGAAUCAGAAUGUCGCGGGGAAUACGUUCCCGGGCCUUGUACAACCGCCCGUCACACCAUGGGAGUGGGUUGCACCAGAAGUAGCUAGUCUAACCUUCGGGAGGACGGUUACCACGGUGUGAUUCAUGACUUGAGUGAA